This 490-nucleotide ribosomal RNA is filed under the name uncultured bacterium. Its description in RNAcentral is "partial 16S ribosomal RNA". It matches the Rfam family "Bacterial small subunit ribosomal RNA", at positions 30 to 507 of the family's 1533-position model. The record is from RNAcentral.
AUUGAACGCUGGCGGCAGGCCUAACACAUGCAAGUCGAACGGUAACAGGAAGCAGCUUGCUGCUUUGCUGACGAGUGGCGGACGGGUGAGUAAUGUCUGGGAAACUGCCUGAUGGAGGGGGAUAACUACUGGAAACGGUAGCUAAUACCGCAUAACGUCGCAAGACCAAAGAGGGGGACCUUCGGGCCUCUUGCCAUCGGAUGUGCCCAGAUGGGAUUAGCUAGUAGGGGGGGUAAAGGCUCACCUAGGCGACGAUCCCUAGCUGGUCUGAGAGGAUGACCAGCCACACUGGAACUGAGACACGGUCCAGACUCCUACGGGAGGCAGCAGUGGGGAAUAUUGCACAAUGGGCGCAAGCCUGAUGCAGCCAUGCCGCGUGUAUGAAGAAGGCCUUCGGGUUGUAAAGUACUUUCAGCGGGGAGGAAGGGAGUAAAGUUAAUACCUUUGCUCAUUGACGUUACCCGCAGAAGAAGCACCGGCUAACUCCGUG